This is a non-coding RNA of Rattus norvegicus (Norway rat), 1251 nucleotides long. The record is from RefSeq and is a predicted model, not a curated record. Lineage: Eukaryota; Metazoa; Chordata; Mammalia; Rodentia; Muridae.
CAAACAGGGACCCAAAUAUCCUGAUCCCUCAAUAUCACGGCCUAUUGCCAAGGCUAUUGGUUAUUCUCCAUAACCUGAUGGUAAGGCUCUUUUGCUGAAAAUACUACUUACUUCCAACAUUGAACAUGGAAGAAUAGAGCUGGUGUUCAUCUAGAAUCUUUGCCUUUACUGAAUAGCUUUCAUGCUCCAAAUAUACUUUGCAAACUACUGGGGAAGAAAAAUAAUUAUCAGUGUUUUCCACUUCUGUGGUUUGAAUAAAAAAAAUGGUCCCAUAGAUUCAUGAGUUUGAAUGCUUGUUCCAUAGAGAAUGGCAUGAUUAGGAGGUUUGGCCUUGUUAGAGUAGGUAUUGGCCUUAAUGGAGGAAGUGUGUUACUCUAGAGGCAGGCUUCGAGAUCUCAUAUAUGGUCAGGCUAGGACUAGUGUGAAACACGCUGCCUGUAGAUCAAGAUGUGGAACUCUCAGCUCCUCUCUCACCAUGUCUGUGUACAUGCUGUCAUCCUUCCUACUAUAAGGAUAAUCAACUGAACCUCUGACUAUAAGCCAGGCUCAAUUAAAUGUCUUCCUUUUAAGAGUUAUCAUGGUUAUGGUGUUUUUUCACAGCAAUAAAACUGUAACUAAGAGAUCCCAUUAGAAACUGUAACCUACAACAGUGACUGUAGGCUUCUAUUUGUUUUAAAGUUUACUUUUAAUAAGGGUUCUCAGGCACUGCAUCCCCCUUCUAGCCCACCAUCCAAUGGUAGGGGAGAAAGGGUGGUUAAAUAGGGCAAGGGGAUGUGGACCUGUUUAGAAGUAGUUCUCUGGGUCAAUUCCAAUCUCAGGAUACUGGUAGUUCAGUUCAGUGUGUCAGGAUAUGAAGCACAAAGCAGCAGCAUGAUCCAGCAGAAAUAGACAGCUCAAUGAAGUGAAGAUCAGCAAAGAUGAAGAUGACUAACACAGCAUUGCAAGAACAAGAUGUAAAAUUCUCAGCUCUUCCAGUACCAGCCUGGAAUGGUGACAUUCUUCCUGCCAUGACAAUAAUGGUCUGAACUUCUGACUCGAGAUAAAAGGCAGAAUCACAGGUCUUCCUGGUUGCUGCCGCUGCAGAGAGCCCCUGGGCAGCACCCCACGAGCGAACCUGAGCCUCGGGACCACAGGGAUUCCCAGAGAAGAUAAGAAGAAACCAACAAUGGAUAAGAGUAAGAUCAGAGGACUCAGGAGGAAAGAAUAAAGAAAAGUUCAAUCCUUCAGAAUACACCAUUUAAUUUUAAUUGA